CCUACGGGUGGCAGCAGUGGGGAAUAUUGGGCAAUGGGCGCAAGCCUGACCCAACAACGCCGCGUGAAGGAAGAAGGCCUUCGGGUUGUAAACUUCUUUUGUCAGGGACGAAGAAAGUGACGGUACCUGACGAAUAAGCCACGGCUAACUACGUGCCAGCAGCCGCGGUAAUACGUAGGUGGCAAGCGUUAUCCGGAUUUACUGGGUGUAAAGGGCGUGUAGGCGGGAGAGCAAGUCAGACGUGAAAUUCCAGGGCUCAACCCUGGAACUGCGUUUGAAACUGUUCUUCUGGAGUGAUGGAGAGGCAGGCGGAAGGCCGUGUGUAGAGGUGAAAUGCGUAGAUAUACGGAGGAACACCAGUGGCGAAGGCGGCCUGCUGGACAUUAACUGACGCUGAGGCGCGAAAGCGUGGGGAGCAAACAGGAUUAGAUACCCCGGUAGUC
Molecule: ribosomal RNA, 443 nt
Filed under: uncultured bacterium
Lineage: Bacteria
Description: partial 16S ribosomal RNA
Rfam family: Bacterial small subunit ribosomal RNA
Source: RNAcentral